This 232-nucleotide ribosomal RNA is filed under the name uncultured bacterium. RNAcentral's name for it is "partial 16S ribosomal RNA". It matches the Rfam family "Bacterial small subunit ribosomal RNA", at positions 99 to 334 of the family's 1533-position model. The record is from RNAcentral.
CGGACGGGUGAGUAAUGUCUGGGAAACUGCCUGAUGGAGGGGGAUAACUGCUGGAAACGGUAGCUAAUACCGCAUAACGUCGCAAGACCAAAGAGGGGGACCUUCGGGCCUCUUGCCAUCGGAUGUGCCCAGAUGGGAUUAGCUAGUAGGUGGGGUAACGGCUCACCUAGGCGACGAUCCCUAACUGGUCUGAGAGGAUGACCAGCCACACUGGAACUGAGACACGGUCCAG